This 73-nucleotide transfer RNA is filed under the name Alosa alosa (allis shad). RNAcentral describes it as "tRNA-Val". It matches the Rfam family "tRNA". Rfam says of the family: Transfer RNA (tRNA) molecules are approximately 80 nucleotides in length. Their secondary structure includes four short double-helical elements and three loops (D, anti-codon, and T loops). The record is from RNAcentral. Lineage: Eukaryota; Metazoa; Chordata; Actinopteri; Clupeiformes; Clupeidae.
AUUUUUAUAGUCUAGUGGUUAUCACGUUCGCCUAACACGCGAAAGGUCCCCAGUUCGAAACUGGGUGGAAACA